This 426-nucleotide ribosomal RNA is filed under the name uncultured bacterium. RNAcentral describes it as "bacterial SSU rRNA". It matches the Rfam family "Bacterial small subunit ribosomal RNA", at positions 28 to 451 of the family's 1533-position model. The record is from RNAcentral.
GACGAACGCUGGCGGCACGCUUAACACAUGCAAGUCGAACGAGAGAAGAGAAGCUUGCUUUUCUGAUCUAGUGGCGGACGGGUGAGUAACACGUGAGCAAUCUGUCUUUCAGAGGGGGAUACCGAUUGGAAACGAUCGUUAAUACCGCAUAACAUAACUGAACCGCAUGAUUUGAUUAUCAAAGAUUUAUCGCUGAAAGAUGAGCUCGCGUCUGAUUAGCUAGUUGGUAAGGUAACGGCUUACCAAGGCGACGAUCAGUAGCCGGACUGAGAGGUUGAUCGGCCACAUUGGGACUGAGACACGGCCCAGACUCCUACGGGAGGCAGCAGUGGGGAAUAUUGCACAAUGGAGGAAACUCUGAUGCAGCGAUGCCGCGUGAGGGAAGAAGGUUUUAGGAUUGUAAACCUCUGUCUUCAGGGACGAAAA